GGGCCGUUAGCUCAGUCGGUAGAGCAACAGACUUUUAAUCUGUGGGUCGCUGGUUCGACUCCAGCACGGCUCACCA
This 76-nucleotide transfer RNA is filed under the name Magnetococcales bacterium. RNAcentral describes it as "tRNA-Lys". It matches the Rfam family "tRNA". Rfam says of the family: Transfer RNA (tRNA) molecules are approximately 80 nucleotides in length. Their secondary structure includes four short double-helical elements and three loops (D, anti-codon, and T loops). Further hydrogen bonds mediate the characteristic L-shaped molecular structure. tRNAs have two regions of fundamental functional importance: the anti-codon, which is responsible for specific mRNA codon recognition, and the 3' end, to which the tRNAs corresponding amino acid is attached (by aminoacyl-tRNA synthetases). tRNAs cope with the degeneracy of the genetic code in two manners: having more than one tRNA (with a specific anti-codon) for a particular amino acid; and 'wobble' base-pairing, i.e. permitting non-standard base-pairing at the 3rd anti-codon position. RNAcentral also lists the same sequence under 1 other name. The record is from RNAcentral. Lineage: Bacteria; Pseudomonadati; Pseudomonadota; Magnetococcia; Magnetococcales.